GUGGGGAAUAUUGCGCAAUGGGCGAAAGCCUGACGCAGCGACGCCGCGUGAGGGACGACGGCCUUCGGGUUGUAAACCUCUUUCAGCAGGGACGAAGCGAAAGUGACGGUACCUGCAGAAGAAGCACCGGCCAACUACGUGCCAGCAGCCGCGGUAAUACGUAGGGUGCAAGCGUUGUCCGGAAUUAUUGGGCGUAAAGAGCUCGUAGGCGGUUUGUCACGUCGGAUGUGAAAACUCGGGGCUCAACCCCGAGCCUGCAUACGAUACGGGCAGACUUGAGUUCGGCAGGGGAGACUGGAAUUCCUGGUGUAGCGGUGAAAUGCGCAGAUAUCAGGAGGAACACCGGUGGCGAAGGCGGGUCUCUGGGCCGAUACUGACGCUGAGGAGCGAAAGCGUGGGGAGCGAACAGGAUUAGAAACCCUUGUAGUCC
This 430-nucleotide ribosomal RNA is filed under the name uncultured bacterium. Its description in RNAcentral is "bacterial SSU rRNA". It matches the Rfam family "Bacterial small subunit ribosomal RNA", at positions 354 to 796 of the family's 1533-position model. The record is from RNAcentral.